This 119-nucleotide ribosomal RNA is filed under the name Pteropus alecto (black flying fox). The record is from RNAcentral. Lineage: Eukaryota; Metazoa; Chordata; Mammalia; Chiroptera; Pteropodidae.
GUCUACGGCCAUGCUACCCUGAACAAGCCCGAUCUCGUCUAAUCUCGGAAGCUAAGCAGGGUCAGGCCUGGUUAGUACUUGGAUAGGAGACCACUUAGGAAGACCAAGUUCUGUAGGCA